GAGGGUGAGGAUAAAAAUGAUGCUCAAGUUGAUAAUUGAAUUGAGUCUAAAGCUAAUGGUUUGGGUACUUGGUCAGGGGAUAGGAUUGUAUAUGAAGAUUUCACAAUAUAGAAGGCCAAAUGUAUAAUUAAGUUAUUUCUUAUGAUAUUUAUAAGUUUUUAUUUUAUAUCUAAUUUCAAUAUUAAAUAAAUUAGUUUAAUAUACUUG
This 207-nucleotide long non-coding RNA is filed under the name Vigna radiata. RNAcentral's name for it is "long non-coding RNA (VRAD_LNC000641)". Lineage: Eukaryota; Viridiplantae; Streptophyta; Magnoliopsida; Fabales; Fabaceae. The record is from RNAcentral.